Molecule: long non-coding RNA, 1161 nt
Filed under: Monodelphis domestica (gray short-tailed opossum)
Lineage: Eukaryota; Metazoa; Chordata; Mammalia; Didelphimorphia; Didelphidae
Description: lncRNA (ENSMODG00000049538.1)
Source: RNAcentral
CCUGGGACUGUGAUCUGUAGGAACGGAGGGAAGCUACGCACCCAAUUCCUUUCCUAUGGGGGGGUUGGGAGGGAGAAUGAAGCCCUACAUUCUCUCGAAGAAAAAUCUUGCAUAUUUGUUAAUAUGCCUUUAAAGUAAAUAUUCUUCUGUAAAAGCUAAUCAGCUGUGGUUUAGUGGAAAUGAGAACAACACAAGGCAGAGGCUGGAGCCACUGGGAGAGAGCCUACACCGCAAAACUCCUCUUGAGUUUUCUAGAGAAUCCUAGAGGCAUUCUCUGUUCAGUCAAUAAACACAAGCAAACGGCUCAGAGUGGAUGGCAAAUAAGUUUCAUUAUAUAUUCAGUGGUUCAGAAAUGAAAGCAUUUAGGGAAAGGAACAAAAUGUCUAAAUCCAGCUGCCUCUCCAAAAGCCUAGAAGAGAAACUAGAAACUGAAUGAUCAGUGGGUAAAUGGAAGCUGUCCAAAUCCCUACUACUAUGAACCAAUAUGGAGAAGCCAGUCAUUUUGGUUUGCUUUGGGGAACGGGGGAGAAGAGGGUUAAGGAAGAGAGAUGACCAUUGAGGGAAACAUGGUGAGCCUGAAUCUCCAUUCAAUUGCUUCUGCAAUGGACUCCAGCUACUGAGGUGAUUGAUUAAAAAAUUUGAAGCUUAAAGGGUUAAAAUCUGGUCCAUUCUGUCUCUAGUAUUCAUUUAUUUUUAUGAUGACUACCUUGGUCCCUUCCCUCCCUGAAGACCAGGGGGUCAGGAAUAUCUAGGGAUGAAGCAGGUCCCAUAUGGUUAAAAAGUCCCUGUUCUCAAGUAGUUUAAAAUUAAACAAGACAAAUAAGUUAAAAGCACACCUAUGUACUACACAGAAGUGACAAAUUACAUGUAAAUGAUUUAAAUUCAGGACAAGAGAAGUGGAACAAAGAGGAAUCAUUUCCUACUGGAAUAAUUAGGGCAAACUUCUUGACAAAGGUAACACAAGAACUUAGCCUUAAAGUCUGGAGAUUUUGCUGGAUGAAAAUUGGAGAGGGAGGACAUUCAAGGCAAAGAGACUAGCAUAAACCAGCGAUGACAAGCCUAUGGCAUGGAAGCCAAAAAUGGCAUGUAGCACUUUCUGUGGGCACAUGGGCCACCCUCCCCCAAAUUCCUCCCCUCCAGUUUGUUAUUAGAAAGGCAGAG